This 30-nucleotide non-coding RNA is filed under the name Homo sapiens (human). The record is from RNAcentral. Lineage: Eukaryota; Metazoa; Chordata; Mammalia; Primates; Hominidae.
UCCACACCCUAAAGAAACCUCACGAGUGCG